Molecule: ribosomal RNA, 253 nt
Filed under: uncultured bacterium
Lineage: Bacteria
Description: partial 16S ribosomal RNA
Rfam family: Bacterial small subunit ribosomal RNA
Source: RNAcentral
UACGGAGGGUGCAAGCGUUGUUCGGAAUUAUUGGGCGUAAAGAGCGUGUAGGCGGUUUGGUAAGUCAGAUGUGAAACCCCUGGGCUCAACCCAGGAAGUGCAUUUGAAACUGCCAUGCUCGAGUAUGGGAGAGGAGAGUGGAAUUCCCAGUGUAGAGGUGAAAUUCGUAGAUAUUGGGAGGAACACCCGUGGCGAAGGCGACUCUCUGGACCAAUACUGACGCUGAGAAGCGAAAGCGUGGGGAGCAAACAGG